UACGUAGGGUGCGAGCGUUAAUCGGAAUUACUGGGCGUAAAGCGUGCGCAGGCGGCGCGUUAAGACAGGUGUGAAAGCCCCGAGCUUAACUUGGGAAUUGCGCUUGUGACUGGCGAGCUGGAGUGUGGCAGAGGGAGGUGGAAUUCCACGUGUAGCAGUGAAAUGCGUAGAGAUGUGGAGGAACACCGAUGGCGAAGGCAGCUUACUAUGGUCUUAUUGACGCUGAGGCACGAAAGCGUGGGGAGCAAACAGG
RNAcentral lists this ribosomal RNA (253 nucleotides) under uncultured bacterium. RNAcentral describes it as "partial 16S ribosomal RNA". It matches the Rfam family "Bacterial small subunit ribosomal RNA", at positions 524 to 776 of the family's 1533-position model. The record is from RNAcentral.